RNAcentral lists this ribosomal RNA (491 nucleotides) under uncultured bacterium. RNAcentral describes it as "bacterial SSU rRNA". It matches the Rfam family "Bacterial small subunit ribosomal RNA", at positions 903 to 1397 of the family's 1533-position model. The record is from RNAcentral.
AAAUGAAUAGACGGGGGCCCGCACAAGCGGUGGAGCAUGUGGUUUAAUUCGAAGCAACGCGAAGAACCUUACCAGGGCUUGACAUCCCUUGACCGCCAUAGAGAUAUGGCUUCUCUUCGGAGCAAGGAGACAGGUGGUGCAUGGUUGUCGUCAGCUCGUGUCGUGAGAUGUUGGGUUAAGUCCCGCAACGAGCGCAACCCUUGUCAUUAGUUGCCAUCAUUUAGUUGGGGACUCUAAUGAGACUGCCGGUGACAAACCGGAGGAAGGUGGGGAUGACGUCAAAUCAUCAUGCCCCUUAUGUCCUGGGCUACACACGUGCUACAAUGGUCUGUACAGAGGGAAGCGAAGGGGUGACCUGGAGCGAAUCCCAGAAAGCAGAUCUCAGUUCGGAUUGCAGGCUGCAACUCGCCUGCAUGAAGUCGGAAUCGCUAGUAAUCGCAGGUCAGCAUACUGCGGUGAAUACGUUCCCGGGCCUUGUACACACCGCCCGU